Molecule: long non-coding RNA, 368 nt
Organism: Eleginops maclovinus (Patagonian blennie)
Lineage: Eukaryota; Metazoa; Chordata; Actinopteri; Perciformes; Eleginopidae
Exons: 2
Source: RefSeq, a predicted model, not a curated record
CAUUCCCAUUACGUCGAAUAAUGUGCGUAUCCAACUCUAGGUAAAACUACCAGUCCGCUUUAGAGCAGAGAUUGAGAGACAAUGUCAAGCGGAGUGAGUGAACCAGACGUGAACGGAGGAAUAAUGGAAAACUCAACUGCGCAUGCUCUGUGGGCCCACAUCCGGGUACUUUCUGAGUCUGCACUCGUUCUAUUCGGCUUCAUGCGCCACGGAGCGACUCUCAGGAAUCCGCCCACCAUGCUGUAUUGUGCUGUAACUUUGGGUUAUUGUUAACAUAAGAAUUCGGUGCCGAAAAGUUGUCCAGCUGUUGAAUUACGAUUUGUUUGUGCUUCUGACUUGUGCCGAAUUAAAAAGUGUCUCUCAGUGAA